GACGAACGCUGGCGGCGUGCCUAAUACAUGCAAGUCGAGCGAACGGACCAGAAGCUUGCUCUUCUGAAGUGACGGGCGGAAGGGUAAGGAAGGCGUGGAGAGCCCACCUAUAAGACCGGGACCACUUCGGGAGGCUGGAGCUAGGAACGGGUAGUAUCUUGAAGCGAAGGGAGCAGAAGGGAAGAUCGGUUUUGAAGUAACGUCUAGAGGGAUCCCCGCUGGAUUGGCUAGUUGGCAAGGAAACGGCUUACCAAGGCAAGGAUGCCUAGCCGAGCUGAGAGACUGAUCGGCCACACUGGAACUGAGACACGGUCCAGACUCCUACGGGAGGCAGCAGUAGGGAAUCUUCCGCAAUGGUCGAAAGUCUGACGGAGCAACGCCGCGUGAGUGAUGAAGGUCUUCGGAUCGUAAAGCUCUGUUGUUGGUGAAGAACCUUUGUGGAAGUAACUGUGCCCUUCUUGACGGUACCUAAUCAGAAAGCCACGGCUAACUACGUG
Molecule: ribosomal RNA, 497 nt
Filed under: uncultured bacterium
Lineage: Bacteria
Description: partial 16S ribosomal RNA
Rfam family: Bacterial small subunit ribosomal RNA
Source: RNAcentral